Long non-coding RNA from Lontra canadensis (Northern American river otter), 884 nucleotides. RefSeq lists it as uncharacterized. The transcript is spliced from 3 exons. The record is from RefSeq and is a predicted model, not a curated record. NCBI's taxonomy places the organism in Eukaryota, Metazoa, Chordata, Mammalia, Carnivora, Mustelidae.
CGCCGGCCGGGCUGCGGGGUUCGCCUCCCCGAGCGGCGGGGGAACAAUGACAGCCCGAUGGGAAGUGGGAGGGGGCCUGGAGCAGCCUCCGGAAAGCGCCCCUGCCCGCACCGGUGUUCUCGCGCUCGGCGGUGCUAAAACAAGCUUGCUCCGAAGAGCUGUAGAUGCUGUUUCUGCCGAGUGAAAAUACUUUCUGUUGGCUCUGCUGUUACACACCUGUGUGUGAAGAAGGAAUUUGAUGGACUGACUCGCUGCCCGGAAAGCGAGUCCUGGAGUUCCAGGACCCAGUGAAUCCAUGAAUGCCAUCACAGAAAGCAGCAUCUAAGGCUUGAAUGCAGAGACAGAGGUUUAAUGUGUGGGAAGAUCGGCUUUGUGGCAUAUAACUUGAACGUCCAUAAUACACACAUAAAACACACAAAAUAUGCAAAACCCUGGGCUACACCCUUAGAUCUGGCGGGUGCUGAGAAAAUGGCAAGGCAGAGGCAGGGCGAGGAGCCCGUGGCAUCAGGUGGAGUUUUCAUUCAGGGUCACCCUGUAAAGUUGGGCAGGUUGUACACUGCACCUCAAGUACAUGGGGAGGACUGGGGGCCUCUUUCUAGUUUGCACAAAGGCACUAUUUGCUCACUGAGCACUCCUGAGGCUGUGUGUGCCCAGAGGAAGGACCUUUCCUAUUCAUAUCAAGUCUCCAUAGGUACCAGGGGAACCCUGAAGAAAUUUGGGGUGCCAUUCCACAGCACAGAGCCUGAUCCAACACCUCAGAGCAGUGCUCUGAGGUCAAUGCCAGGACCGAGCUCAGGGCACCAGGAUCUGGAGCCCUCACUCCCCUGUGCCCUGCCCAGUCCCAACCAGCCAGUGCUCCUGGGAGGCAGAAGAGGGAGGGAGGG